Molecule: long non-coding RNA, 138 nt
Organism: Coregonus clupeaformis (lake whitefish)
Lineage: Eukaryota; Metazoa; Chordata; Actinopteri; Salmoniformes; Salmonidae
Exons: 3
Source: RefSeq, a predicted model, not a curated record
GAGGAGCCGCUAAGCGCUAAGAGAUUGACUGAAAACAUGAGAAGACUCAAGCGAGGUGCCAAACCUGUCACAAACUUCAAGAGGAACCUUUUUGCCUUAUCCAGCUGGCAAACAGUGUACACGUCAGCCUUCGCCUUC